AGAAACAAGCAGAGGGCUGGAGAGGCGGCUCUCGGGGAAACCAGGGCGGGGAGCACCAGGGAGCCCCGGUCACCCGGAACUGCACACCCGGAGUCACUGAGCUGAAAUGAGCCCGCGGCCGGAUGUACUCAAAUACAGAAGAGAGGAGAUGGUCUGGAAGAAGCUACAGAGAAAAGGCUUCACUCCAAAAAAGGACAAAAGGAAAAUAGCAGGAGCAAGAAGCCCUUUCCAUGAUGUGCUCAAGAGAAAGGAAAGAAUUAUGACAAUAGCUACCAUUUAAGCAACACCCUUGUUCCCGGCACAGCAUCACAGAGUUUUACAGAUGUUAUUUUAUUUAGUCUUGGCAACAACUCUAUGACGUACCUUUUAUUGUUAUCCCAGUUUACCCCUGAUAAAACUGAUUAGAGUGUUGAAACCAUACCUGAGGUCAUACAGGUAGUUAUCAGUGGACCAAAGAGUCAAACCUUUGUAUGCCAGAGUCCAGAGUAUAUUUUUAACCCCUACUCUGCAGGUAAGCAAAGGCAGUCAAGAAAAGGAACCAAGCUCUACCACUUGCUAACUGAGUGGUCUUGGGCAAGUUUUCUAAUCUUUUCCUAACUCAGUUCCUUCAUCUGAAAUCAGAUAAUAAUAUCUACCUCUGGGUUGUGGGGAAGAAUAAACAAUGUGAUAUGCAGAAAGCUUCU
This is a long non-coding RNA of Balaenoptera ricei (Rice's whale), 683 nucleotides long. RefSeq lists it as uncharacterized. The record is from RefSeq and is a predicted model, not a curated record. Lineage: Eukaryota; Metazoa; Chordata; Mammalia; Artiodactyla; Balaenopteridae. The transcript has 3 exons.